This 1134-nucleotide ribosomal RNA is filed under the name uncultured organism. RNAcentral's name for it is "bacterial SSU rRNA". It matches the Rfam family "Bacterial small subunit ribosomal RNA", at positions 202 to 1322 of the family's 1533-position model. The record is from RNAcentral.
AAAGGUGGUGAGAGCCAUCACUGGGAGUUGGGUUCGCGUCGGAUUAGCUAGCUGGUGAGGUAACGGCUUACCAGUGCUACGAUCCGUAGCUGGUCUGAGAGGACGAUCAGNCACACUGGGACUGAGACACGGCCCAGACUUCUACGGAAGGCAGCAGUGGGGAAUCUUCCGCAAUGGGCGCAAGCCUGACGGAGCAACGUCGCGUGAGUGAAGAAGGCUUUCGGGUUGUAAAGCUCUGUCCUUAGGGAAGAACAGUCUAUAGAGGAAAUGUUAUAGAUAUGACGGUACUUAAGGAGGAAGCUCUGGCUAACUACGUGCCAGCAGCCGCGGUAAUACGUAGAGAGCGAGCGUUGUCCGGAAUUACUGGGCGUAAAGGGUAUGCAGCCGGAUAUACAAGUCGGAUGUGAAAGGUGCCGGCUCAACUGCCGGAGUGCAUUUGAAACUGUAUAUCUUGAGUGCAGGAGAGGAAAACGGAAUUCCUGGUGUACCGGUGGAAUGCGUAGAUAUCAGGAAGAACACCAGUGGCGAAGCCGGUUUUCUGGCCUGCAACUGACGCUGAGGUACGAAAGCCGGGGGAGCGAACGGGAUUAGAUACCCCGGUAGUCCCGGCUGUAAACGAUGGAGACUAGGUGUUGGGGGUUCGAAUCCUUCAGUGCCGGAGUUAACGCGAUAAGUGUCCCGCCUGGGGAUUACGACCGCAAGGUUGAAACUCAAAGGAAUUGACGGGGGCCCGCACAAGCGGUGGAGCAUGUGGUUUAAUUCGAUGCAACGCGAAGAACCUUACCGAGGUUUGACAUCCUGUGCCUAUUUGUGAGAGCAGAGUAUAGGUCUUAGUACCUACACAGAGACAGGUGGUGCAUGGCUGUCGUCAGCUCGUGUCGUGAGAUGUUGGGUUAAGUCCCGUAACGAGCGCAACCCUUAUUCCUAGUUGCCAGCAUUUAAGGUGGGGAUUCUAGGGAGACAGCCGGUGAAAGCCGGAGGAAGGUGGGGAUGACGUCAAGUCCUCAUGCCCUUUAUGCCUCGGGCUACACACGUGCUACAAUGGUUGGUACAGAGGGGAGCGAAGCUGUGAAGUGGAGCCAAUCUCAGAAAACCGAUCUUAGUUCGGAUUGCAGGCUGCAACUCGCCUGCAUG